GAUGAACGCUGGCGGCGUGCCUAAUACAUGCAAGUCGAGCGAACAGAUGAGGAGCUUGCUCCUCUGACGUUAGCGGCGGACGGGUGAGUAACACGUGGAUAACCUACCUAUAAGACUGGGAUAACUUCGGGAAACCGGAGCUAAUACCGGAUAAUAUAUUGAACCGCAUGGUUCAAUAGUGAAAGACGGUUUUGCUGUCACUUAUAGAUGGAUCCGCGCCGCAUUAGCUAGUUGGUAAGGUAACGGCCUACCAAGGCAACGAUGCGUAGCCGACCUGAGAGGGUGAUCGGCCACACUGGAACUGAGACACGGUCCAGACUCCUACGGGAGGCAGCAGUAGGGAAUCUUCCGCAAUGGGCGAAAGCCUGACGGAGCAACGCCGCGUGAGUGAUGAAGGUCUUCGGAUCGUAAAACUCUGUUAUUAGGGAAGAACAAAUGUGUAAGUAACUAUGCACGUCUUGACGGUACCUAAUCAGAAAGCCACGGCUAACUACGUG
Molecule: ribosomal RNA, 497 nt
Filed under: uncultured bacterium
Lineage: Bacteria
Description: partial 16S ribosomal RNA
Rfam family: Bacterial small subunit ribosomal RNA
Source: RNAcentral